UACGUAGGGGGCUAGCGUUGUCCGGAAUCAUUGGGCGUAAAGAGCGUGUAGGCGGCUCGGUAAGUCCGCUGUAAAAGUCAAAGGCUCAACCUUUGAAUGUCAGUGGAUACUGCCGGGCUAGAGUCCGGAAGAGGCGAGUGGAACUCCUGGUGUAGCGGUGGAAUGCGCAGAUAUCAGGAAGAACACCCGUGGCGAAGGCGGCUCUCUGGGACGGUACUGACGCUGAGACGCGAAAGCGUGGGGAGCAAACAGG
RNAcentral lists this ribosomal RNA (253 nucleotides) under uncultured bacterium. RNAcentral describes it as "partial 16S ribosomal RNA". It matches the Rfam family "Bacterial small subunit ribosomal RNA", at positions 524 to 776 of the family's 1533-position model. The record is from RNAcentral.